RNAcentral lists this ribosomal RNA (313 nucleotides) under uncultured Coxiella sp. RNAcentral describes it as "bacterial SSU rRNA". It matches the Rfam family "Bacterial small subunit ribosomal RNA", at positions 31 to 331 of the family's 1533-position model. The record is from RNAcentral. Lineage: Bacteria; Pseudomonadati; Pseudomonadota; Gammaproteobacteria; Legionellales; Coxiellaceae.
GAACGCUGGCGGCAUGCCUUACACAUGCAAGUCGAACGGCAGCGGGGGGAGCUUGCCCCCUGACGGCGAGUGGCGGACGGGUGAGUAACACGUAGGAAUCUACCUUAAUUAUAAUAGUUAGUGGGGGAUAACCCGGGGAAACUCGGGCUAAUACCGCAUAAUCUCUUCAAAGCAAAGCGGGGGAUCUUCGGACCUCGUGCUAUGAGAUGAGCCUGCGUCGGAUUAGCUAGUUGGUAGGGUAAUGGCCUACCAAGGCGACGAUCCGUAGCUGGUCUGAGAGGACGAUCAGCCACACUGGGACUGAGACACGGCC